This is a long non-coding RNA of Tachysurus fulvidraco (yellow catfish), 434 nucleotides long. RefSeq lists it as uncharacterized. The record is from RefSeq and is a predicted model, not a curated record. The transcript is spliced from 2 exons. NCBI's taxonomy places the organism in Eukaryota, Metazoa, Chordata, Actinopteri, Siluriformes, Bagridae.
CUGAGUGUUUGUGACUGCUGAGUGUUUGUGACUUUGUGACUGCUUUCUUAAUUUUGGUCUUGAGCUUUCUUUCUUUGAUCAUAUGCCAAUAAGCCAGCUCUUCUCUGUCAUACACCAGAUACCAAACGCACCAUGUGUCACGGGGCAGCGGAAUACGCUCCCAGGGCAAGAAGAGUAUGCCAGCUGUCCAAUCCAGAAAUCUCAGGCAAUUUUGCUCUCUGGUGUAGAUAUCAAGCGACGGGUGGCUUCAUCAGGACCGAAACCUGCAAUCUCCUGAUGAUAGGGCAAACACCUUUCUAAUUGCACCAGUGUUUUUGAUCCUGAUUGCCUAUAUUGCACUGUUUGUCUAAUCAUUUGAACUUUGCCUAUCCUUUGACCGCAGUUCUUACUGCUGAUUUAAUUUGAAUAAAGGUUAAAGGAGAUAUUAAAAUCCA